This 488-nucleotide ribosomal RNA is filed under the name uncultured beta proteobacterium. RNAcentral's name for it is "bacterial SSU rRNA". It matches the Rfam family "Bacterial small subunit ribosomal RNA", at positions 224 to 704 of the family's 1533-position model. Lineage: Bacteria; Pseudomonadati; Pseudomonadota; Betaproteobacteria. The record is from RNAcentral.
GGGCGGCCGAUGUCCGAUUAGCUUGUUGGUGGGGUAAUGGCCCACCAAGGCGACGAUCGGUAGCUGGUCUGAGAGGAUGAUCAGCCACACUGGGACUGAGACACGGCCCAGACUCCUACGGGAGGCAGCAGUGGGGAAUUUUGGACAAUGGGGGCAACCCUGAUCCAGCCAUGCCGCGUGCGGGAAGAAGGCCUUCGGGUUGUAAACCGCUUUUAGCCGGGACGAAAGCUGCACGGAUAACACCCGUGCGGGUUGACGGUACCGGCGGAAUAAGCACCGGCUAACUACGUGCCAGCAGCCGCGGUAAUACGUAGGGUGCGAGCGUUAAUCGGAAUUACUGGGCGUAAAGCGUGCGCAGGCGGUUCGUUGUGUCGGCGGUGAAAGCCCCGGGCUCAACCUGGGAAUGGCCGUUGAAACUGGCGAACUGGAGUGUGGCAGAGGGGGGUGGAAUUCCGCGUGUAGCAGUGAAAUGCGUAGAGAUGCGGAGG